Molecule: ribosomal RNA, 421 nt
Filed under: uncultured bacterium
Lineage: Bacteria
Description: bacterial SSU rRNA
Rfam family: Bacterial small subunit ribosomal RNA
Source: RNAcentral
UGAGGAAUAUUGGGCAAUGCCCGCAAGGGUGACCCAGCAACGCCGCGUGGAGGAUGAAUGUCGUAAGAUUGUAAACUCCUGUUAGAGGGGAAGAAUAGUACCGGUUGGACCGGUAUAUGACUGUACCCUCAGAGAAAGCCCCGGCUAACUACGUGCCAGCAGCCGCGGUAAUACGUAGGGGGCAAGCGUUGUCCGGAUUUACUGGGUGUAAGGGCGCGCAGGCGGGAUAAAAAGUCAGUGGUGAAAUCCUACAGCUUAACUGUAGAACUGCCUUUGAUACUUUUAUUCUUGAGUUCGGGAGAGAGAGACGGAAUUCCAGGUGUAGUGGUGAAAUACGUAGAUAUCUGGAAGAACACCAGUUGCGAAGGCGGUCUCUUGGCCCGACACUGACGCUGAGGCGCGAAAGCGUGGGGAGCAAACA